RNAcentral lists this ribosomal RNA (465 nucleotides) under Vreelandella stevensii. RNAcentral describes it as "partial 16S ribosomal RNA". It matches the Rfam family "Bacterial small subunit ribosomal RNA", at positions 338 to 795 of the family's 1533-position model. The record is from RNAcentral. Lineage: Bacteria; Pseudomonadati; Pseudomonadota; Gammaproteobacteria; Oceanospirillales; Halomonadaceae.
CCUACGGGUGGCUGCAGUGGGGAAUAUUGGACAAUGGGCGAAAGCCUGAUCCAGCCAUGCCGCGUGUGUGAAGAAGGCCUUCGGGUUGUAAAGCACUUUCAGUGGGGAAGAAAGCCUUGGGGCUAAUACCCUCGAGGAAGGACAUCACCCACAGAAGAAGCACCGGCUAACUCCGUGCCAGCAGCCGCGGUAAUACGGAGGGUGCGAGCGUUAAUCGGAAUUACUGGGCGUAAAGCGCGCGUAGGCGGUCUGAUAAGCCGGUUGUGAAAACCCCGGGCUCAACCUGGGAACGGCAUCCGGAACUGUCAGGCUAGAGUUCAGGAGAGGAAGGUAGAAUUCCCGGUGUAGCGGUGAAAUGCGUAGAGAUCGGGAGGAAUACCAGUGGCGAAGGCGGCCUUCUGGACUGUCACUGACGCUGAGGUGCGAAAGCGUGGGUAGCAAACAGGAUUAGAUACCCGAGUAGUC